GUCCUAGCUGUAAACGAUGUUCACCAGAUGUGGGAGGUAUCGACCCCUCCCGUGUCGACGCUAACGCAUUAAGUGAACCGCCUGGGGAGUACGGCCGCAAGGUUGAAACUCAAAGGAAUUGACGGGGGGCCCCGCACAAGCGGUGGAGCAUGUGGUUUAAUUCGACGCAACGCGAAGAACCUUACCUGGGCUCGAACGGCUAGUAGUAGAAUUCUGGAAACAGAAGACGAACCGUAAAGUCGGUUGCUAGUCGAGGUGCUGCAUGGCUGUCGU
This 273-nucleotide ribosomal RNA is filed under the name uncultured bacterium. RNAcentral describes it as "partial 16S ribosomal RNA". It matches the Rfam family "Bacterial small subunit ribosomal RNA", at positions 793 to 1055 of the family's 1533-position model. The record is from RNAcentral.